GGGUGUGAUAAUGCCAGCAUUAAUGCAUCGGAUCCCAUCAGAACUCCAUAUUUAAGCGCACUUGGGCUAGAGUAGUACUGGGAUGGGUGACCUCCCAGGAAGUCCUAGUGUUGCACCCU
Molecule: non-coding RNA, 119 nt
Organism: Picea glauca (white spruce)
Lineage: Eukaryota; Viridiplantae; Streptophyta; Pinopsida; Pinales; Pinaceae
Source: Rfam